Molecule: transfer RNA, 90 nt
Filed under: compost metagenome
Description: tRNA-Ser
Rfam family: tRNA
About the family: Transfer RNA (tRNA) molecules are approximately 80 nucleotides in length. Their secondary structure includes four short double-helical elements and three loops (D, anti-codon, and T loops).
Source: RNAcentral
GGAGGUGUGGCCGAGUGGUUUAAGGCAGCGGUCUUGAAAACCGCCGGAGGGGAAACCCUUCCGUGAGUUCGAAUCUCACCGCCUCCGCCA